AUUGAACGCUAGCGGGAUGCUUUACACAUGCAAGUCGAACGGAGUGCCGAACGGGGGAGGAAUGUAAAGGAACGUGCACAGUAGCGAGGGAUAACUACGCGAAAGCGUAGCUAAUACCGCAAACUCUCGGAGCGGCCGAUAACGGAGUAGCAUGUUGGUGAGGUAACGGCUCACCAAGGCGACGAUCCGUAGCUGGUUUGAGAGGAUGACCAGCCACACUGGGACUGAGACACGGCCCAGACUCCUACGGGAGGCAGCAGUGGGGAAUAUUGUACAAUGGGGGCAACCCUGAUCCAGCCAUCCCGCGUGUGCGAUGAAGGCCUUCGGGUUGUAAAGCACUUUUGGCAGGAAAGCGGUACCUGCAGAAUAAGCACCGGCUAACUACGUGCCAGCAGCCGCGGUAAUUC
Molecule: ribosomal RNA, 407 nt
Filed under: uncultured bacterium
Lineage: Bacteria
Description: partial 16S ribosomal RNA
Rfam family: Bacterial small subunit ribosomal RNA
Source: RNAcentral